RNAcentral lists this ribosomal RNA (1132 nucleotides) under Fusarium solani. RNAcentral describes it as "eukaryotic LSU rRNA". The stretch from base 511 to 1132 matches the Rfam family "Eukaryotic large subunit ribosomal RNA", at positions 1 to 620 of the family's 3401-position model. The record is from RNAcentral. Lineage: Eukaryota; Fungi; Ascomycota; Sordariomycetes; Hypocreales; Nectriaceae.
CCGAAGGAGACGCGGAGGGACAUUACCGAGUUAUACAACUCAUCAACCCUGUGAACAUACCUAAAACGUUGCUUCGGCGGGAACAGACGGCCCCGUAACACGGGCCGCCCCCGCCAGAGGACCCCCUAACUCCUGUUUCUAUUAUGUUUCUUCUGAGUAAAACAAGCAAAUAAAUUAAAACUUUCAACAACGGAUCUCUUGGCUCUGGCAUCGAUGAAGAACGCAGCGAAAUGCGAUAAGUAAUGUGAAUUGCAGAAUUCAGUGAAUCAUCGAAUCUUUGAACGCACAUUGCGCCCGCCAGUAUUCUGGCGGGCAUGCCUGUUCGAGCGUCAUUACAACCCUCAGGCCCCCGGGCCUGGCGUUGGGGAUCGGCGAGGCGCCCCCUGCGGGCACACGCCGUCCCCCCAAAAUACAGUGGCGGUCCCGCCGCAGCUUCCAUUGCGUAGUAGCUAACACCUCGCAACUGGAGAGCGGCGCGGCCACGCCGUAAAACACCCAACUUCUGAAUGUUGACCUCGAAUCAGGUAGGAAUACCCGCUGAACUUAAGCAUAUCAAUAAGCGGAGGAAAAGAAACCAACAGGGAUUGCCCCAGUAACGGCGAGUGAAGCGGCAACAGCUCAAAUUUGAAAUCUGGCUCUCGGGCCCGAGUUGUAAUUUGUAGAGGAUGCUUUUGGUGAGGUGCCUUCCGAGUUCCCUGGAACGGGACGCCAUAGAGGGUGAGAGCCCCGUCUGGUUGGACACCGAUCCUCUGUAAAGCUCCUUCGACGAGUCGAGUAGUUUGGGAAUGCUGCUCUAAAUGGGAGGUAUAUGUCUUCUAAAGCUAAAUACCGGCCAGAGACCGAUAGCGCACAAGUAGAGUGAUCGAAAGAUGAAAAGAACUUUGAAAAGAGAGUUAAACAGUACGUGAAAUUGUUGAAAGGGAAGCGCUUGUGACCAGACUUGGGCUUGGUUUGAUCAUCCGGGGUUCUCCCCGGUGCACUCUUCCGGCCCAGGCCAGCAUCAGUUCGCCCUGGGGGACAAAGGCUUCGGGAAUGUGGCUCUCUCCGGGGAGUGUUAUAGCCCGUUGCGUAAUACCCUGUGGCGGACUGAGGUUCGCGCAUCGCAAGGAUGCCUGCGUAAUUCCCCGUGCGA